AACCUGGUGGCUCAGAGGUUAAAGCCUCUGCUUGGCAUGCAGGAGACCUGGGUUCGAUCCCUGGGUUG
RNAcentral lists this transfer RNA (68 nucleotides) under Bos taurus (domestic cattle). It matches the Rfam family "tRNA". From Rfam's summary of the family: Transfer RNA (tRNA) molecules are approximately 80 nucleotides in length. RNAcentral also lists the same sequence under 1 other name. The record is from Rfam by way of RNAcentral. Lineage: Eukaryota; Metazoa; Chordata; Mammalia; Artiodactyla; Bovidae.